GGGAUUGUUGUUGUCCUUCGAAUUCUAAAUUAAAAUAAUCAGCGCCAGUUUUCCUAAGAGUUAUUUCUCAAGGAAUUUCCAUGAGUGAAAUCCGAGUUUAAAAAUAACUCACCGAAUCAGACAAAAGAGACUAAAGGAGAAGCUUCAUAUCUCUAGACACAUGGGAAAACCAACACAUUCAAGAGAGCAAGUCAACUGAACAUGCUUGCAAAGUGGAUUGUGGUUGGUUGUAUUCCAGAUGCACCAACCAGGAAAGGAGCCAGCCAGGAUGAGCAGACAGGGGUUAGACGUUUUUGUCAACAAUUAUGUUCUUUAUUAAGCUGUUGAUUCUAAAAUUUGUACAGAAAAUUUACACAUGAGGGACAAUGAGAGGCUGAAGACAGGAAGGUAAGAUCUUCUGUGACUGUUCCUACUACCUCUAUAAAGAAGAUGCCAGUGUCACCUGCUAAGGAGAAAGGACUUUUCUUUUUUC
Molecule: long non-coding RNA, 472 nt
Filed under: Sus scrofa (pig)
Lineage: Eukaryota; Metazoa; Chordata; Mammalia; Artiodactyla; Suidae
Description: lncRNA (ENSSSCG00015006303.1)
Source: RNAcentral